Long non-coding RNA from Pseudopipra pipra, 1965 nucleotides. RefSeq lists it as uncharacterized. Lineage: Eukaryota; Metazoa; Chordata; Aves; Passeriformes; Pipridae. The record is from RefSeq and is a predicted model, not a curated record. The transcript is spliced from 2 exons.
UAAAAAAUCCCUAAAAAUCCCUGGAAUAUCCCUAAAAAUCCUUAAAAAUCCUCAGAGUAUCCCUAAAAAUCCUUGGAAUAUCCCUAAAAAUCCCUAAAAAUCCUUGGAAUAUCCCUAAAAAUCCCUAAAAAUCCUUGGAAUACCCCUAAAAAUCCGUGGAAUAUCCCUAAAAAUCCUUGGAAUAGCCCUAAAAUACCCCUAAAAACCCUCAGAAUACCCCUCGGUGAGGCCUCGCGGCCUAAAAAUCCAGAGGCCUGUUUUCCUCGGAUCGGGAUCCAAACCGGGCCCAAAUCCCAAAUCUUUGUCUUCCCUCUGGAAGAACCAUCAGGAAGACACCUGGUGACCCUUUUCCAUAUUUAUUAUACCGAGGUGUUGCCAUGGAAACACUCCAAGCCCCCUGAAAAGGCCUCGGUGAGGCCUCGCGGCCUAAAAAUCCAGAGGUUGUUUUUCUCGGAUCGGGAUCCAAACCGGGCCCAAAUCCCAAAUCUUUGUCUUCCCUCUGGAAGAACCACCAGGAAGACACUUUUUCCACGGUUAUUAUCCAUGAGGUGUUGCCAUGGAGACGCUCCAAGCCGCCCAAAAGGCCUCAGAGAGGCCUCGCGGCCUAAAAAUCCAGAGGUUGUUUUUCUCGGAUCGGGAUCCAAACCAGGCCCAAAUCCCAAAUCUUUGUCUUCCCUCUGGAAGAACCAUCAGGAAGACACUUUUUCCAUGGUUAUUAUCCUCGGAUGUUGCCAUGGAGACACUCCAAGCCCCCCAAAAGGCCUCGUUUUAGGCCUUGCGGCCUAAAAAUCCAGAGGCCUGUUUUUCUUGGAUCGGGAUCCAAACCGGGCCUGAAUCCCAAAUCUUUGUCUUCCCUCUGGAAGAACCAUCAGGAAGACACUUUUUCCAUGGUUAUUAUCCAUGGGGCGUUGCCAUGGAGACACUCCAAGCCCCCCAAAAGGCCUCGUUUUAGGCCUCGCGGCCUAAAAAUCCAGAGGUUGUUUUUCUUGGAUUGGGAUCCAAACCGGGCCCAAAUCCCAAAUCUUUGUCUUCCCUCUGGAAGAACCAUCAGGAAGACACCUGGUGACCCUUUUCCAUGUUUAUUAUCCAUGGGGCGUUGCCAUGGAGACACUCCAAGCCCCCCAAAAGGUCUCGUUUUAGGCCUCACGGCCUAAAAAUCCAGAGGCCUGUUUUUCUCGGAUCGGGAUCCAAACCGGGCCCAAAUCCCAACUUUUUGUCUUCCCUCUGGAAGAACCAUCGGGAAGACACUUUUUCCAUGGUUAUUAUCCAUGAGGUGUUGCCAUGGAGACACUCCAAGCCCCCCAAAAAGGCCUUGGCGAGGCCUCGCGGCCUAAAAAUCCGGAGGUUGUUUUUGUCGGAUCGGGAUCCAAACCGGGCCCAAAUCCCAAAUCUUUGUCUUCCCUCUGGAAAAACCAUCAGGAAGACACCUGGUGACCCUUUUCCAUGUUUAUUAUCCAUGGGGUGUUGCCAUGGAGACGCUCCAAGCCCCCCCAAAAGGCCUCGUUUUAGGCCUUGCGGCCUAAAAAUCCAGAGGUUGUUUUUGUCGGAUCGGGAUCCAAACCGGGCCCAAAUCCCAAAUCUUUGUCUUCCCUCUGGAAGAACCAUCAGGAAGACACUUUUUCCAUGGUUAUUAUCCAUGGGGUGUUGCCAUGGAGACGCUCCAAGCCCCCCAAAAGGCCUCGUUUUAGGCCUCACGGCCUAAAAAUCCAGAGGCCUGUUUUCCUCGGAUCGGGAUCCAAACCGGGCCCAAAUCCCAACUUUUUGUCUUCCCUCUGGAAGAACCAUCAGGAAGACCCUUUUUCCAUGGUUAUUAUCCAUGGGGCGUUGCCAUGGAGACACUCCAGGCCCCCGAAAAGGCCUCGGCGAGGCCUCCCGGGCCUAAAAAUCCGGCGGCGCUUUUCAAGCCUCGCCAGCUGUUCCCGGGGCUUCCGAUGAAAAGCUUGGAACAAAAAAAAAGCUCGGGAA